This 75-nucleotide transfer RNA is filed under the name Marmota monax (woodchuck). RNAcentral describes it as "tRNA.Gly". Lineage: Eukaryota; Metazoa; Chordata; Mammalia; Rodentia; Sciuridae. The record is from RNAcentral.
GGGGUCGUGGCUCAGUGGUAGAGUGCUUGCUUGCCUAGCAUGUGUGAGACACUGGGUUCAAUCUCCAGCACCACA